CACUCCAUCCAUUUUUCUUGCAUGUCCUAGCGGAUUUUCUCUGCGGCUCUCUCUGCGACUUUGCCAAAGCGGAUUAAUCUCUAGGAUCAAUGGCCGCGACUGUGCCCUAGCCGAUUUAUCUCUAAGGUUGAUGGUUAAUCAAGUAACGCCGGUUGUUUUCCCCUUUAAUUUUCAGUUGUGGAUGAAGUGGGGGUGGUGUUUUUUGCUUUCUUUGUAUGGCUAUAGUUUUAUCAUCUAUACAUCUCUGUACUUCAUAACUUAUCAUCUUGACCUGAAUGGUCAUAUUUAAGACAACAAAAGUUGUUGGAUUUCUUCAAUUUAAGUUUGUUGCAAAGCUUGAGUUUGAUUUUCGGUUAAAUUUGUUGAUGUAGUUGUUAUUUUCUUGAUUAUUUUCCAAAGAAGUUUUUAUUUAUGUUGAUGUUUGCUGCUGGAAUGCCCUCUUGAUGUUACAUUCUAAGUAUAUUUUCAUCCCUUUGCUACUGCUCUUUUGCUCUUUUUGUGUGCAACAAGUGAGUUUAAGUUUACAUUACAGAUUAUAUCUAAAAUGAAUCUAAUUGGUGUGUCGUUCUUCGUUUGGGUGUCUUUAAUGAUGACUUAUUUGCAUAUAUCAUUUGUGAUUUUUAAACAAUAAGAUAAGAGUCUCAAGGUAUAACUUAAUUUGUAGCAGCCCAUUCACCAUACUUACAUACAGUGGUUCUUAUUUUCACUCUUUCUCAAACAACACAUCUAUAUAGUUGGAGUGAAGUUCAUUUAGCCAAAAGUGAGAUUACAUCUAUGCUAAUAUUUUUUUAUUGCUUUCUUAAAUGUUGUAGAUGGCUUCUGAUUCACAAGCAAAGGGGAAAUCAAAAUAUUUCACUUGGACUAAUGAGAUGGAUAAAAUCCUCGGAGCUUGUUUCAAUGAACAAAUGAAUGAAGGAAACAAGCUAGAUUGAAAAUUUGCUUGGAAGUCUACCUCUUGGACCGCUGCUAUAUAUGCACUUAUGGUAAAUUUGAACAUCAAGGUGGAUAAAAACAAUAUACAAGCUCGCUUAAAGACUUGGGAGAAACACUAUGAUAUCUUGCAUCCACUAUUGGUAUCAUGCAAUUCUGGCAGCCCAAUCACGUGGCAUUAUACAACGGGUAGAUGAAAAUGUGUGCAGUGAAAGAUUAAAGGCAAAUUCAAAAAUUGGACCUUAUAGGAGAAGAAUUGUGAUAGAGAAUUGGGAUGAUAUGUGUACUCUUUUCUCUCAAGAUCGUGCUGCCGGCCAAGGUGCAAAAACACAUCAUGAAACACUGCAGAGGUUGAGGUUGAUUUUGCUACAAUUGGGGACUCAUUUGACAAGCAGUUUGAAGAAGAAGUUGAUGCUAUGAGUGAUUUGUUGGCUCGAAAAAAGGGUAAGGAGACAAUAUCUUCCUCAAGUUCCCUUGGACCGAAGAAGAAGACGGAUUCGAAGAUCAUAUCUGAUUGUAUGCAUCGUAUGUCCACUGGUUUUGGUGACUAUCUGUUGGUGGAGAGAAAGAAGGCUAAGCUUGAUAUAGAUCAGAAAAAACUUGAUGUGGAACAAAAAAAACUUCUUAUGGUGCAACAAAAAAUGGACCCCAAAGAAAUUUUAGCAGCAUUGAAGACUAUUGAUUUAGAUGAAAUGCAGAUGAUCAAGGCUUUGGAUUUUAAUGAUGCAAGAUGGCAUAUUAUUCCAUACAUUUGUUGGAAUACCAGUGGAGAUGAAAUACAAGUGGCUAAAAGUACAACUUGAUAAGUAAAGUUGUCUUUCCAAUUGAGCUUGUUUGAACUUGAAUAUGUUUUAUUAAAUCUAGUAGACUUUGUCUAUGAAGAAUAGUAGUACUACUUUUUUACUUUUGUUCUUAUACCACUUGAGAGGAUGCAAAUUGUAAUAUUUUAAUAUCCACUCAUAUAUAAGUAUUAAUUAUCAUUGCUUAUUAUUAUUA
Molecule: long non-coding RNA, 1926 nt
Organism: Salvia splendens (bonfire salvia)
Lineage: Eukaryota; Viridiplantae; Streptophyta; Magnoliopsida; Lamiales; Lamiaceae
Exons: 2
Source: RefSeq, a predicted model, not a curated record